RNAcentral lists this transfer RNA (67 nucleotides) under Marmota monax (woodchuck). RNAcentral describes it as "tRNA.Ala". The record is from RNAcentral. Lineage: Eukaryota; Metazoa; Chordata; Mammalia; Rodentia; Sciuridae.
GGCUGUGGCUCAGUGGUAGAGCGCUUGCCUAGCAUGAGUGAGGCACUGGGUUCAAUCCCCCACACCA